UACGAAGGGGGCUAGCGUUGCUCGGAAUCACUGGGCGUAAAGCGCACGUAGGCGGAUUAUUAAGUCAGGGGUGAAAUCCCGGAGCUCAACUCCGGAACUGCCUCUGAUACUGAUAGUCUUGAGUUCGGGAGAGGUGAGUGGAACUGCGAGUGUAGAGGUGAAAUUCGUAGAUAUUCGCAAGAACACCAGUGGCGAAGGCGGCUCACUGGCCCGAUACUGACGCUGAGGUGCGAAAGCGUGGGGAGCAAACAGG
Molecule: ribosomal RNA, 253 nt
Filed under: uncultured bacterium
Lineage: Bacteria
Description: partial 16S ribosomal RNA
Rfam family: Bacterial small subunit ribosomal RNA
Source: RNAcentral